UGAGAAGCUCAGGACAGCAGAGGAGACGUGGUGAGCUCCUGAUGAAGACUGUGUGUGUGUGUGUGUGUGUGUGCCCACUCAUGCUCUUCUGUCUCUAUAGCCAAGAUGUGACACCUGCUGAAUCACCAGUGAGAUUCACCUGAGUCAUUUAGCAAAGAUAAAUAGAGGCUUCAGCAGCAGCGAGACACACAGAACACUCAAGCUUCACUGACGCUUGUGUUUCACUCAAAGCACGCUUGAAAGUCAUUAGAAACAGCCAGGGCCGGCAGCGGGUCACGACCUCCACGGGCUUUCAGUGGCCGAUUCUUAAAUGUUGACAUUCGGUCGCUAGAUUGAGCUCAAGCAAGAUUUUCCAGCUUCAAAGAUUUUUCUUCGCAAUUCUCUCUCCUGCUUUGUAUUCAGCGGCAUGUCUGAGUGCAGGUCUGAAAACACAAAAGUGGGUCAGAAGCAAAUAAUUUCUUGAGCCAAGCGAAUGUCAGAAGACAUGAAGGUUCUGAGGGCAUUUUAAUAACCGCCACCAAUAUUCACCCCCGCGGACCGACAGGCGGAGAGCGGCCUGGUGACUGCAGGCUCAGGCGUGUAAUUUCAGUGCCGGAACCAAGACGUUUUAAGUAAGCCCUCGCAGUGCGCUCGUAUGAUGAAAUGCAUUGAGGCAUUUAAUGCUAAACAGACGCCCCACAAACACGGAACACAGAGAAAGGCAUCAGUCCAUUAGAAUCAGUCAAAUCAUGUGUGUUGAGGAGAGCGCUGCGAUCAGACGCACCUGCUGGACAUACAACUGCAUAGACAACCACCCCUCCAAAAAAUCAUGAAUUAAUUUCAUGGCCUGGCUGAAGGCUGGAGUUCUCGAUGUGACUGAUGGUCGUGUGAUUUCAUGGAAAGGUGAAAUGUGUCAUUUCUGCAGCAGUUAGGGCUGGGCAAGUUUUCAGAUUUUAUUGAUUCAUUCAAAUAAUUUUUGCCCCCAUUUUAUCUUUUUUUAAAUUGAGGAAUUUCAGUUUCAAAUAAAAUAUUAGCUAACAUUAUAUUUAGACACGUCAGUCCGCCAAUACUAAGAGUUGGUGUGAGCACAUGAUGAUGAAGCGUGUGUAGGCACUCUAUGAAGGAGCGUAACUGAGCGGCAGUUUACACAGAAAGCACGAGAUGUGACAGUGGGACGGGAAAAGUGCAAGGUUACGAGACACCAGUUGAACUUCUUUAAACUUGAGCACCACAUUUUUAAGAGUCAUUCACGCAGAAUGUGGUUUUUACUUUGAACAUGUUAAAUACGGGUACUGGAUUGGGAAAAACAAAAGGCAUAGUCUUUUAAAAGUCAAACAUACUUUAACUUG
Molecule: long non-coding RNA, 1328 nt
Organism: Cyprinus carpio carpio
Lineage: Eukaryota; Metazoa; Chordata; Actinopteri; Cypriniformes; Cyprinidae
Source: Ensembl